ACGAACGCUGGCGGCGUGCUUAACACAUGCAAGUCGAACGGAAAGGCCCUGCUUUUGUGGGGUGCUCGCGUGGCGAACGGGGGAGUAACACGUGAGUAACCUGCCCUUGACUUUGGGAUAACUUCGGGAAACUGGGGCUAAUACCGGAUAGGAGCUCCUGCUGCAUGGUGGGGGUUGGAAAGUUUCGGCGGUUGGGGAUGGACUCGCGGCUUAUCAGCUUGUUGGUGGGGUAGUGGCUUACCAAGGCUUUGACGGGUAGCCGGCCUGAGAGGGUGACCGGCCACAUUGGGACUGAGAUACGGCCCAGACUCCUACGGGAGGCAGCAGUGGGGAAUAUUGCACAAUGGGCGGAAGCCUGAUGCAGCAACGCCGCGUGCGGGAUGACGGCCUUCGGGUUGUAAACCGCUUUCGCCUGUGACGAAGCGUGAGUGACGGUAAUGGGUAAAGAAGCACCGGCUAACUACGUG
RNAcentral lists this ribosomal RNA (467 nucleotides) under uncultured bacterium. RNAcentral's name for it is "partial 16S ribosomal RNA". It matches the Rfam family "Bacterial small subunit ribosomal RNA", at positions 29 to 507 of the family's 1533-position model. The record is from RNAcentral.